Molecule: ribosomal RNA, 490 nt
Filed under: Diaporthe sp. Kjd007
Lineage: Eukaryota; Fungi; Ascomycota; Sordariomycetes; Diaporthales; Diaporthaceae
Description: eukaryotic LSU rRNA
Rfam family: 5.8S ribosomal RNA (bases 176-329)
Source: RNAcentral
CUGGAACGCGCCCCAGGCGCACCCAGAAACCCUUUGUGAACUUAUACCUUACUGUUGCCUCGGCGCAUGCCGGCCCCCCUGGGGGCCCCUCCUUCUGGAGGAGCAGGCACGCCGGCGGCCAACCUAACUCUUGUUUUUACACUGAAACUCUGAGAAUAAAACAUAAAUGAAUCAAAACUUUCAACAACGGAUCUCUUGGUUCUGGCAUCGAUGAAGAACGCAGCGAAAUGCGAUAAGUAAUGUGAAUUGCAGAAUUCAGUGAAUCAUCGAAUCUUUGAACGCACAUUGCGCCCUCUGGUAUUCCGGAGGGCAUGCCUGUUCGAGCGUCAUUUCAACCCUCAAGCCUGGCUUGGUGAUGGGGCACUGCCUGUAAAAAGGCAGGCCCUGAAAUUCAGUGGCGAGCUCGCCAGGACCCCGAGCGCAGUAGUUAAACCCUCGCUCUGGAAGGCCCUGGCGGUGCCCUGCCGUUAAACCCCCAACUUCUGAAAAU